This 28-nucleotide non-coding RNA is filed under the name Bombyx mori (domestic silkworm). Lineage: Eukaryota; Metazoa; Arthropoda; Insecta; Lepidoptera; Bombycidae. The record is from RNAcentral.
UAUUAAAAGGAGUCCCUUUAGGCAAAGU